Molecule: ribosomal RNA, 424 nt
Filed under: uncultured bacterium
Lineage: Bacteria
Description: bacterial SSU rRNA
Rfam family: Bacterial small subunit ribosomal RNA
Source: RNAcentral
AUUGAACGCUGGCGGCAUGCCUAACACAUGCAAGUCGAACGGCAGCACGGCAGUAGCAAUACUGUGGGUGGCGAGUGGCGGACGGGUGAGGAAUACGUCGGAAUCUGCCCAGUCGUGGGGGAUAACUAGCCGAAAGGUUAGCUAAUACCGCAUACGACCGAGAGGUGAAAGCGGGGGACCGCAAGGCCUCGCGCGAUUGGAUGAGCCGACGUCGGAUUAGCUAGUUGGUGGGGUAAAGGCCCACCAAGGCGACGAUCCGUAGCUGGUCUGAGAGGAUGAUCAGCCACACUGGAACUGAGACACGGUCCAGACUCCUACGGGAGGCAGCAGUGGGGAAUAUUGGACAAUGGGCGCAAGCCUGAUCCAGCAAUGCCGCGUGUGUGAGAAGGCCUCGGUUGUAAGACGACUUUAUUCUAGACGAAAG